Long non-coding RNA from Rhinolophus ferrumequinum (greater horseshoe bat), 2828 nucleotides. RefSeq lists it as uncharacterized. Lineage: Eukaryota; Metazoa; Chordata; Mammalia; Chiroptera; Rhinolophidae. The transcript has 3 exons. The record is from RefSeq and is a predicted model, not a curated record.
GCAGCCGCCGGAACCUGGGCCCUGCCCUUCCCUGCCUCGCCCUCCCCUCCCCUGCCCUGCCCUUCCCCCACCGGGGUGCCUGCGCAGAGUACGCAGUGAAUGGGUCAGUGAAAGCACAGAGAGAUGCUCGGCCACUGGGUUUAGUGCGAGGUACGCCCAAAUAUCCAAGAAAGAGCUGAAGUCUGGGACGAGGAGGCAGGGCAUCCCUGGGAUUGGAGCUGGCCUCCUCUUCUAGGCAGCGCGCCCCUCCCUGAAAUGGGGGCAAAACUGAGGAAACUCGAUUGCCACAAGCUGCUGAGAAAAGGAGUAAUGCACGGAUUCUUGCUUUGUCAAGUGAACCGAGACAGGGAACGAAGAUCCGAAAGAGGGGAAGCAGGCAGUCUAUGACUGGCAGAGAUGGACGGCCAGCAGCAGCCGGGGACGCCCAUCUGGUGGGCAUGAUGAACUUCAAAGACAGGCACGACUCCUGGCCCUUACUGAGCAUAAACUAUUUGGGGAAGGUGUGUGAGGGGCAGGCCUAAGCAAGGGUAGCCAGGCAGCCGAGCCCUCUGCCUCUGCCAGUGCCCUCCGUCUCUAUACCCUCGACAGAGGAGAGGAUCUGAGGCUUAUGAUUUUACCUACCGCAAUCCCCAAGAAAGGAGGUCGAACUGGUCCUACAGACUCCACCCUGGUUGCCUGUUAAAAUUGCCUGGGAAGCAUUUAUACAAUCCCAGUGACUUACACCUCACCCCAGACUCACUACUCAAUCUCUGAGCAGAGCAGUUUUUUAUCUGGUUUUAAAGCUCUCCAGAUAAUUCUACUGUGCAGUUAAGGCUACGAAAACCUGUCUUAAACUAACCAAGCCUUGGAAAUUCCAAGGUGACUAGACCAGGCAUCUCUCACAUGGACUGAUGCCUGUUCUAACGGUGGUUCAGGCUGAGUGUCCCGUCUCGGCGUGGCCCAAAAGAUGCAGCACACUGCUGUCUGUCCCCACAGGGCACUGAACAAGUAGUUCAAAUACUUGGUUUAAGAUUGUUUCCCAGGGGACACCUAUAGUUUUCCCAGGGACCAGGAGCUGAACUGCUGGCUGCUUGGGAAGGAGAGCUGUAAUCCCAGUACUGAGGGCCUCCUUCCAGGACUGGGACCCACCAUUCGGUGUCCCUGCUCAGCAGAGAGAGGGCUCGUGGGCUGUCAUACAAGGAGGCAGUUGUGGUCGUUGAAAGAAAAUAAGGUGCUUUGUAUGCUUCCUCUUUUCUGUUUCUUGUGAAUCCCUUCCUUACAAACAGCUGUCUCAUUGUUUCCACGAGGUUGGGCAGAGACUAGCUAAGAAAUACUUUCAGCCAAGGCCAGUCUGGCUGAUAAGUUCUGUACAGUGUUAUCAGUCGCUGUCAAGUUACUUUUCUGAGAACUGGGGGAAAGAAAAUACUUUGUUAUGUGAUUCAGGAAGACUUUGUUUUUAAUAGAUUCGAGAUGAGACCUAAGACUGCUUUUCCAUACGUCCUUCCUUCCCGUCCAUAGACGGGGUUCUUACAAGGAAUGAAGACACAGCUCUUUGGAAAUUGACACCAAUGGCAAAACAUUAACGCAUUCCCAACGUCUCCGAGCCACAGGAGUGCAAAAGCACUUGGGGUGAAUUACUGGUUAGACAUCCGCCGAUCUCAGGAUGAUGGAGAAUCCCCGUGGACAUUUCUAACAGGCGUCAGCAAACUUCUGUAAAGCACCAGAUAACGAUCAGAGGGCUGUGGACCAUGGGCCUCUGUCACCACUACUAAACCGUGUCACUGCAGUUCAGAAGCAGCCACGGACAGUAUGGAAGCUGGGCUGCCUGGAUUUGACUGUAUUGCAAUACGGUUUUCUUUACCAAAACAAGCAGGCUGGAUGUGGUGGUUUGCUGACCCCUGUCCUACCAGAGCACAGCUUCCACAGACUGAACUGAGUGAACAUUUAAUGAGUGACAAAUGAAGACAGCAGGACAUGGUAAAAGGCUGAUAAGGAUUUAAUGACAAAUAUUCGAUAUUGGUUGCUGAACACUAGAAUACUGUCCAGGCAACCAUCAUUAAAUAAAACAACCUGAAAAUAAGGCAAUUCUCACAUACACAAGCACACACUCACACAAAACCUGUUACUCUUAGGAUUAUUAAAUUAUUCACGAUUUUAACAAACAGCUGUCAAAUAACAUUACAGUGAAGGAAAAUGUGCACAAACUUCAGAAACACAGCUCAGAUUGUCUGUGAAUACAGGUUCUUCAUUUGUACUUUCACAUAUGUACAGCCUCUUGAUCUUGAAGAGACCACAUGGCUCACGGGGUUAACUUGUCGUCUUCUCCUUCCAACUCGGAGCUCAAGAUUUAAGCCAUUCCAACCUAUUUAAUCUGCCCCAGGUUUUGCUCGGUGAAGGGCAGCCUGCACUUGACCAAACUCCCAGGAAACAAAUGAUACACUUGCCUCCGCUAUCAUUCAUGAGUUGGUGGAAGGAGUCUUUAGAGUCACGUUUUUAAGAAUGAACCAGUUAACAGGGUUUGCUUUAGAAAUACUAUUAUUCUAAAACUAAAUACAAGAAACCACCUCCUGAAUGCAUGUAACCUCACUUUAAUGCAGAUUAUGUUCCCUGAAGAAUUGUAAGAAAAAUGGAAUCACAUUUUAGAUGUACCAUGAGAGUAGGUGUUGAUGGUUGGACUGUUUCCUUCUGCUAAUUAAUGGGUUUGCUCGUGGAAGGGCUACUGAACUAGUAGCCAGCUCUCAUCCACAGUAACAGAAAGAAUGAGGCGCCAAUGAAAUCCAAAGAUUUCUACUGCCACUAAAUUAUUUUGCAUUAGUUUCCACUGAACUUUCUCCAAAGCUACUAAUAUG